RNAcentral lists this unclassified non-coding RNA (251 nucleotides) under Hevea brasiliensis (rubber tree). Lineage: Eukaryota; Viridiplantae; Streptophyta; Magnoliopsida; Malpighiales; Euphorbiaceae. The record is from RNAcentral.
GCAUGGUUGACAGACUGCGAGAUUUCACGAGGAUGAAUCCUCUUAUAUUCACAGGGGCUAAUACUUCAGAGGAUCCUCAGGAGUUCAUAGACUAGGUGCAUAAGAUCCUGGUGUUCAUGGGGGCCACUGAAAUUGAGAAGGCUGAGCUGACUUCCUACCAGCUCAAGGAUGUUGCACAGACUUGGUGCAAGAUGUGGCAAGAUAGCCGUGUCCUAGGUGGAGUGCCAGUCACAUGGGAGCUGUUCAAGACA